GUGUCAGCCGCCGCGGUAAUACAGAGGGUGCAAGCGUUAUCCGGAUUUAUUGGGCGUAAAGCGUUUCGUAGGUGGUUUUGUAAGUUAAACUUCAAAGACUAGGGCUUAACCCGAGGAAGGGGUUUAAUACUGCAAGACUUGAGAAUUUUAGGGGCAAUCGGAACUGUUGGUGUAGGGGUGAAAUCCGUUGAUAUCAACAGGAACGUCAAGGGCGUAGGCAGAUUGCUGGGAAAUUUCUGACACUGAGGAACGAAAGCUAGGGGAGCGAAAGGGAUUAGAAACCCCUGUAGUCC
RNAcentral lists this ribosomal RNA (293 nucleotides) under uncultured Microgenomates group bacterium. Its description in RNAcentral is "partial 16S ribosomal RNA". It matches the Rfam family "Bacterial small subunit ribosomal RNA", at positions 505 to 796 of the family's 1533-position model. The record is from RNAcentral.